RNAcentral lists this ribosomal RNA (303 nucleotides) under Triticum aestivum (bread wheat). RNAcentral describes it as "partial small subunit ribosomal RNA". Lineage: Eukaryota; Viridiplantae; Streptophyta; Magnoliopsida; Poales; Poaceae. The record is from RNAcentral.
UAUGAAGUGGUGCAAGAUGAGGCCGAUGAGUUUGCAAUGAAAGAAGAUGAAGAACCUCGUGAGCUCUUUCGGAGAGUAACCAAACUCGCGAUCUCACUCCGAGAUCAUGGGAGCAAGGACACGGAUGACAAUUGGAUCAAGCGCAAGUUCCUCAAGGCCAUGAUGCCCUACAACAAGGCCAUGUCCUCCGUCAUCCGUCAAAGACCGGACUUCCACUCCAUGACCUCAAAUGAAGUGUUGGAUGAGUUCGUGGCAAUUAGCAUCUUGGACAAGACCGCUGACAACGCGGUGUUGCAUUCUUAA